CAUUCUAAAUUCCACAGCCCAGGGCUUCAAGCAUACCCACCACUGAUUUCAAUUUGUUCUUCCCAUUUGGCCCAAGGCAAAGUGAUGACAGUGACUGAAAAUAUGGGUCUUCUAUAUCCCCACAAUGUACCUUCAAAAAAAAUUGCCACCUACAACCCUCUUUAUGGGACCAAUGGUUUCUCUUCUUCAAUCAUCCUCGCCUUCAAGGGAAAGAAUCUGAGGGCUUCGUCAAUUCAAUCCACUUGCCCUUUCCUUACAUCUGGUUCAGAAUUCCUGGAAGAGACUGAACAGGAUUCUCCAGGGACUAUGAGUGCGAAGAAACUCCUGAACAUGGCAGCGAUGGCCAAAAACUUGUUUUACAAGUACCUCACCAGUGAAAAGACUUCCGCUGUAAUCAAAAGAAAUUUCAAGAGGAUGAAUUAAAUAGAAACUAUUUAAUAAAUA
Eptesicus fuscus (big brown bat) is the source of this 444-nucleotide long non-coding RNA. RefSeq lists it as uncharacterized. The transcript has 2 exons. Lineage: Eukaryota; Metazoa; Chordata; Mammalia; Chiroptera; Vespertilionidae. The record is from RefSeq and is a predicted model, not a curated record.